Molecule: ribosomal RNA, 490 nt
Filed under: uncultured bacterium
Lineage: Bacteria
Description: partial 16S ribosomal RNA
Rfam family: Bacterial small subunit ribosomal RNA
Source: RNAcentral
AUUGAACGCUGGCGGCAGGCCUAACACAUGCAAGUCGAACGGUAACAGGAAGCAGCUUGCUGCUUCGCUGACGAGUGGCGGACGGGUGAGUAAUGUCUGGGAAACUGCCUGAUAGAGGGGGAUAACUACUGGAAACGGUAGCUAAUACCGCAUAACGUCGCAAGACCAAAGAGGGGGACCUUAGGGCCUCUUGCCAUCGGAUGUGCCCAGAUGGGAUUAGCUAGUAGGUGGGGUAACGGCUCACCUAGGCGACGAUCCCUAGCUGGUCUGAGAGGAUGACCAGCCACACUGGAACUGAGACACGGUCCAGACUCCUACGGGAGGCAGCAGUGGGGAAUAUUGCACAAUGGGCGCAAGCCUGAUGCAGCCAUGCCGCGUGUAUGAAGAAGGCCUUCGGGUUGUAAAGUACUUUCAGCGGGGAGGAAGGGAGUAAAGUUAAUACCUUUGCUCAUUGACGUUACCCGCAGAAGAAGCACCGGCUAACUCCGUG